This 480-nucleotide ribosomal RNA is filed under the name Streptomyces sp. RNAcentral describes it as "bacterial SSU rRNA". It matches the Rfam family "Bacterial small subunit ribosomal RNA", at positions 91 to 584 of the family's 1533-position model. The record is from RNAcentral. Lineage: Bacteria; Bacillati; Actinomycetota; Actinomycetes; Kitasatosporales; Streptomycetaceae.
AUUAGUGGCGAACGGGUGAGUAACACGUGGGCAAUCUGCCCUGCACUCUGGGACAAGCCCUGGAAACGGGGUCUAAUACCGGAUACUGAUCCUCGCAGGCAUCUGCGAGGUUCGAAAGCUCCGGCGGUGCAGGAUGAGCCCGCGGCCUAUCAGCUUGUUGGUGAGGUAACGGCUCACCAAGGCGACGACGGGUAGCCGGCCUGAGAGGGCGACCGGCCACACUGGGACUGAGACACGGCCCAGACUCCUACGGGAGGCAGCAGUGGGGAAUAUUGCACAAUGGGCGAAAGCCUGAUGCAGCGACGCCGCGUGAGGGAUGACGGCCUUCGGGUUGUAAACCUCUUUCAGCAGGGAAGAAGCGAAAGUGACGGUACCUGCAGAAGAAGCGCCGGCUAACUACGUGCCAGCAGCCGCGGUAAUACGUAGGGCGCAAGCGUUGUCCGGAAUUAUUGGGCGUAAAGAGCUCGUAGGCGGCUUGUC